Molecule: long non-coding RNA, 1116 nt
Organism: Cajanus cajan (pigeon pea)
Lineage: Eukaryota; Viridiplantae; Streptophyta; Magnoliopsida; Fabales; Fabaceae
Source: RefSeq, a predicted model, not a curated record
UGGAAUCAGGAAGUUAUUCUAUAUCGUUUUGCUUAUCACCGAUGUAGAAGUGAACCCCUCAUAUGUGUCCCGUGAACACGCUAGGUUAAAUACUCGGGGCCAAGGCCUCUUCGCUCUCUUCCUCCUUCGUCUUCGUCUUCGCUGUCGCCACGUCUCGCGCUCAAGUGCUCUCUACCGCGCUCGAUAGACUCUCUUCCUCCUUCGUCUUCACCAUGCGACGUCGUUGGGCGCGAGUGCGAGGAGUUAGAACGCCGGCAGCGAGAAGAGGCAGGGUCACAGUCAUAGGCACAAUCUGAGCGAGUGCACUUCGGAUCUGAGCGAGUCGUGUUCAACGCUGCGCGGUAACAGUGGCAGCAACACGCUACUCUACACGCACGUGAUCGCGUUCACGCUGUACUAGUUGGAGACCAUAACGAACAGCUUCCGCGGCGACUACAUCCUCGGCGAGGGAGGGUUCGGGACCAUUUACAAAGGCUACAUUGAUGAGAACGUGAGAGUGGGACUCAAAUCACUACCUGUAGCGGUCAAAGUGUUGAAUAAGGAGGGACUGCAGGGACAUCGCGAGUGGCUCACGGAGGUGAAUUUUCUAGGGUAGCUUAGCAUCCUAAUCUGGUGAAGUUGAUUGGGUAUUCCUGGAACUCUUCUUCAGAUCUUUCAGGUCAUUGGAAGUGAGGGUUGGGGUGGAUCUACUAGUAGCCAUGGACUUGAUGGUUCUCCAACUAACUGUUGGUCAAACUUAGCUGAUAUGGCAGCCAAUCCUUUCCAUGCAUUAUUCUACCUUGUGUUUAUGUUGUCUACCUGUGCCUUGUUCUCUAAAACUUGGAUUGAAGUCUCUGGUUCAUCUGCUAGAGAUGUUGCAAAGUAGCUGAAGGAACAACAAAUGGUAAUUCCUGGACAUCCGGAGUCGAAAGUUAUGAAUCAUGUAAUAUACAUAUUGAAUCAUUGAUGAUUCAAAAGUUAAAUUGGCGAUUCACCCUCCCCUCCCAUCUAUUUAUUUAUUUUUUUGGUUGCAUUUGUUGCUGUUUAUUGAGUCACAGAUUUCCUUUGGGUUUGAAAAGCAUGUUUUUUUUUAAUGAAGUUCUUGAAUAUAGAAUACAGGUAUGAUACUUUUGCACA